AGAGUUUGAUCCUGGCUCAGAACGAACGCUGGCGGCGUGGCUAAGACAUGCAAGUCAAACGGACUAUACAAUUGAGUAAUCGAUCGUAUAGUUAGUGGCGAAAGGGUUAGUAAUGGAUAGGUAACGUACCCUGUGCUUCGGAAUAGCGUCUCCCGACUUGUCGGGAUACCGAAAGGGUCGGUAAUACCGAAUAAUAUCAUUUGUCGAUAGGCAGAUGAUCAAAGAUUUAUCGGCACAGGAGCGGCCUAUCUCUUAUCAGCUUGUUGGUGAGGUAAUGGCUCACCAAGGCUAUGACGGGUAGCGGGACUGAGAGGUUGGCCCGCCACAUCGGGACUGAGACACUGCCCGGACCUCCACGGAGGGCUGCAGUAACGAAUCUUGCGCAAUGGGCGAAAGCCUGACGCAGCGACGCCGCGUGCGGGAGGAAGUCCCUCGGGAUGUAAACCGCUGUCAGGGGUAAGAAAGUGCGCUUCGGCGCAUUGAUCUAACCCAAAGGAAGUCACGGCUAACUUCGUGCCAGCAGCCGCGGUAAGACGAAGGUGGCAAGCGUUGUUCGGUGUUACUGGGCUUAAAGGGUGUGUAGGCGGAAGGGUAAGCGUCCUGUGAAAGCCCUCGGCUUAACCGGGGAACUGCUCGACGAACUGUCUUUCUUGAGGCAAGUAGGGGUGUACGGAACUCUUGGUGGAGCGGUGAAAUGCGUAGAUAUCAAGAGGAACGCCGGUGGAGAAAUCGGUGCACUGGGCUUGUUCUGACGCUGAGACACGAAAGCGUGGGGAGCGAACGGGAUUAGAUACCCCGGUAGUCCACGCCGUAAACGAUGUCUACUAGGUUGUGGAAGUUCUGACGCUUGCACGGCCGAAGCAAAAGUGCUAAGUAGACCGCCUGGGGAGUACGGGCGCAAGGCUAAAACUCAAGGAAUUGACGGGGGCUCACACAGCGGUGGAGCAUGGUGGAUUAAUCGAAGCAACGCCGCAGAACCUUACCUGGUUUGACAUGCUUGUAUGCCGCCUGCAAGUGGAUUGCUGCCUUCGGGUGAACAUGCACCAGUGCCUGCAUGCCUGUCGUCAGCUCGUGUCUGGAAUGUCGGCUAGUCGUACCGACGAAUCCUUGCCGUAUGCACGGGUCUGUGCGGACUACGGAACUGCCGGU
RNAcentral lists this ribosomal RNA (1149 nucleotides) under uncultured bacterium. Its description in RNAcentral is "bacterial SSU rRNA". It matches the Rfam family "Bacterial small subunit ribosomal RNA", at positions 8 to 1156 of the family's 1533-position model. The record is from RNAcentral.